Molecule: ribosomal RNA, 378 nt
Filed under: Pinnularia viridiformis
Lineage: Eukaryota; Bacillariophyta; Bacillariophyceae; Sellaphorales; Pinnulariaceae
Description: SSU rRNA
Rfam family: Eukaryotic small subunit ribosomal RNA
Source: RNAcentral
AUUCCAGCUCCAAUAGCGUAUAUUAAAGUUGUUGCAGUUAAAAAGCUCGUAGUUGAAUUUGUGGCAGUUGCCAUGGUCCAAAAUGUUUUGGUACUGUUGGGAACAGCCAUCCUUGGGUGGAACCUGUGAGGCAUUAGGUUGUUUUGUGGGGGAUGCCCAUCAUUUACUGUGAAAAAAUUAGAGUGUUCAAAGCAGGCUUAUGCCAUUGAAUAGAUUAGCAUGGAAUAAUGAGAUAGGACUUUGGUACUAUUUUGUUGGUUUGUGCACCAGAGUAAUGAUUAAUAGGGACAGUUGGGGGUAUUCGUAUUCCAUUGUCAGAGGUGAAAUUCUUGGAUUUUUGGAAGACGAACUACUGCGAAAGCAUUUACCAAGGAUGUU